UACGGAGGGUGCAAACGUUGCUCGGAAUUAUUGGGCGUAAAGCGCACGUAGGCGGUCCAGUAAGUCGGAUGUGAAAUCCCUCGGCUCAACCGAGGAAGUGCAUCCGAAACUGCUGGGCUUGAGUACGGAAGAGGGUCUCGGAAUUCCCGGUGUAGAGGUGAAAUUCGUAGAUAUCGGGAGGAACACCAGUGGCGAAGGCGGAGACCUGGGCCGAUACUGACGCUGAGGUGCGAAAGCGUGGGGAGCAAACAGG
This 253-nucleotide ribosomal RNA is filed under the name uncultured bacterium. RNAcentral describes it as "partial 16S ribosomal RNA". It matches the Rfam family "Bacterial small subunit ribosomal RNA", at positions 524 to 776 of the family's 1533-position model. The record is from RNAcentral.